GCACACCUCAAUUGAGCACAGGAUUCCUAAUCCUGGGGCCGUGGGUUCGAAUCCCGCCGGGCG
This 63-nucleotide transfer RNA is filed under the name Hwanghaeella grinnelliae. RNAcentral's name for it is "tRNA-Arg". Lineage: Bacteria; Pseudomonadati; Pseudomonadota; Alphaproteobacteria; Rhodospirillales; Aestuariispiraceae. The record is from RNAcentral.